GGGCCAUUAGCUCAAUUGGUAGAGCAGGCGACUCUUAAUCGUCAGGUUGUAGGUUCGAGUCCUACAUGGCCCACCA
RNAcentral lists this transfer RNA (76 nucleotides) under Bacillota bacterium. RNAcentral describes it as "tRNA-Lys". It matches the Rfam family "tRNA". From Rfam's summary of the family: Transfer RNA (tRNA) molecules are approximately 80 nucleotides in length. Their secondary structure includes four short double-helical elements and three loops (D, anti-codon, and T loops). The record is from RNAcentral. Lineage: Bacteria; Bacillati; Bacillota.